Molecule: ribosomal RNA, 301 nt
Filed under: uncultured bacterium
Lineage: Bacteria
Description: partial 16S ribosomal RNA
Rfam family: Bacterial small subunit ribosomal RNA
Source: RNAcentral
CAGUGCCGCGGUAAAACGAAGGGGGCUAGCGUUGCUCGGAAUGACUGGGCGUAAAGGGUGCGUAGGCGGCUUGACAAGUCUUGUGUGAAAUCUAUGGGCUCAACCCAUAGUCUGCACGGGAAACUGUCGGGCUUGAGAAUGGGAGAGGUGAGUGGAAUUUCCGGUGUAGCGGUGAAAUGCGUAGAUAUCGGAAGGAACACCUGUGGCGAAGGCAGCCCCCUGGGCCAAUACUGACGCUCAUGCACGAAAGCGUGGGGAGCAAACAGGAUUAGAUACCCCCGUAGUCCCUGUCUCUUAUACA